AGCAGCCGCGGUAAUUCCAGCUCCAAUAGCGUAUAUUAAAGUUGUUGCAGUUAAAAGCUCGUAGUUGAAUUUCGGGAUUUAUCCGUUGGUCGGGCUUUUGGUCUGUACUGGCGUGAUGGAUUCCUACCUUCUGAAUAACCGGCAUGCCAUUAAUUUGGUGCGCCGGGGAAGCAGGACUGUUACCUUGAAAAAUUAGAGUGCUUAAAGCAGGCUUAUGCCUGAAUACAUUAGCAUGGAAUAAUGAAAUAGGACGCAUGGUUCUAUUUUGUUGGUUUCUAGGAUCACCGUAAUGAUUAAUAGGGAUAGUUGGGGGCAUUAGUAUUCAAUUGUCAGAGGUGAAAUUCUUGGAUUUAUUGAAGACUAACUUCUGCGAAAGCAUUUGCCAAGGAUGUUUUCAUUAAUCAAGAACGAAAGUUAGGGGAUCGAAGACGAUCAGAUGCCGUCGUAGUCUUAACCAUAAACUAUGCCGACUAGGGAUCGGACGAUGUUAAUUUUUUAAUGACUCGUUCGGCGCCUUACG
RNAcentral lists this ribosomal RNA (520 nucleotides) under uncultured Acaulospora. RNAcentral describes it as "SSU rRNA". It matches the Rfam family "Eukaryotic small subunit ribosomal RNA", at positions 569 to 1092 of the family's 1831-position model. The record is from RNAcentral. Lineage: Eukaryota; Fungi; Glomeromycota; Glomeromycetes; Diversisporales; Acaulosporaceae.